RNAcentral lists this ribosomal RNA (398 nucleotides) under Longimicrobiales bacterium. Its description in RNAcentral is "bacterial SSU rRNA". It matches the Rfam family "Bacterial small subunit ribosomal RNA", at positions 1 to 380 of the family's 1533-position model. Lineage: Bacteria; Pseudomonadati; Gemmatimonadota; Longimicrobiia; Longimicrobiales. The record is from RNAcentral.
UCAAUGGAGAGUUUGAUCCUGGCUCAGGAUGAACGCUGGCGGCGUGCUUAACACAUGCAAGUCGAACGAGGGCCCGGAGCUUGCUCCGGUGACCCGAGUGGCGAACGGGUGAGUAACACGUGACCAACCUGUCCAAGGGUGAGGGACAACCCGGUGAAAACUGGGCUAAUACCGCAUGAUGUCACACUUCCGCAUGGUUGUGUGAUCAAAGAGGGCCUCUGCUUGCAUGCUCUCGCCCAUGGAGGGGGUCGCGACGUAUCAGUUUGUUGGUGGGGUAAUGGCCUACCAAGACUACGACGCGUAGCGGAUCUGAGAGGAUGAUCCGUCACAUUGGGACUGAGAUACGGCCCAGACUCCUACGGGAGGCAGCAGUGGGGAAUAUUGCGCAAUGGGCGAAA